Molecule: long non-coding RNA, 3512 nt
Filed under: Vitis vinifera (wine grape)
Lineage: Eukaryota; Viridiplantae; Streptophyta; Magnoliopsida; Vitales; Vitaceae
Description: long non-coding RNA (VVIN_LNC008003)
Source: RNAcentral
UUUUUCACAGACCACCUUUUCCAAAACAAGGAGUCACACUUAGGGUUUUUCUUUCUUAUUUUGUUUACCCUUUAAAAAUAAAACAAAAAUAAGUGGCGACUCCAAGUCAUUCUUUUAACCAAUAAAAAUCAUCUUUCAAAUCAAAAUCGAGCUCGCCAUCGAGUGGGAAACGCAUUGAGCCGAAAUGCGGGGUCCACAGGGAUAUUAAUGGUUUUGGAAACCUAAGUGUAUAAAAUAUGAGAUGUCACUGUUAAUUGGUAAAAUAAUAUCCAAAACAUGCAUUAUGUCCUGUUUACUUUUCUUCUUCCCAGAUUGCCCCUAAAUUUCUCCAUGUCAUCAGCAAAUUAUCCCAUGUCAGCAGAGCACAAAGAAACCCGACCCGAGAACCAGGAAUCUCUCUCUCUUCCCGUCAUUUUGCCCUAACCCCAUCUCAGGAAAUUCCCAAUUUCUAAAUUUCUCAUCUUCUUCCCACAAGCCCCUCGUUGAAUUUGCUAGCUACCUCUUCAUGUCGCGGCAUUUCGUUCGACAACCCUUCAAUCAAAUCUUUCUCAUAUUUCAGAUAUGUGGGUUUUCAAAGCCAUAUAUCUUCCAUAGCAGCCUGCAAUCACAACUUUCCCUUUUUAAUACGCCUGCUUCACUUGCUCCAAUUUUAAAGUGCCCAAAAAAAUUUUCACUUGCGUAAUUUCCUCACGAAAAUGUCUUCCAUCGAAACUUCAAAGGGAAUCCUGGAAAUCGGAAAGUUCGCUUUCUAUGUCUCAAUCCCGAUUGAUCUGAUGUAUACUUUGGCAAACAAUUCCGAGAAUAUGAAGAAACUCGUCCAGAAGGUAUUCUUUUUCCUCAGUCGGUGCUAUGAAAUUGGUGUGUUCUGGUUAUUGAAUCUGUGAUUACAUGACACCUGGGGAUUUUUUGAAGUAAAAGAGAAGAAAAUGCUUAAGAAAAUGGACCAUUCUGAAGCAUUUUAUUUUUCUUUCAUCCGAAUGGUCCUUAGUUUGUGGAGAAUAUUCUCGAUAGGGCUGAACUAGUUUUUCUUUCGAAGAUUGAAUCGAGAUUUAUUACAUUUUUGUGGUUUGGAAAAUCCUUAUUAAUUGGUUGAUAGAGUAAUUUUGGGGAUCCAUCAUUGAUGUUAGACAUUUUUUGAAUUGGGAACUAUUCUGAUUCUUACACGUCGUGUUUAGGUCUAACAUUUUCAGACUAUAAACUUCUUAGAUACGUGUCCAAUGUUCCUCAAAAGUCUCCUUACUUAUACAGGAAUCAAAUAUCUCUUUUUUACUCGCUUAUACGAAUUUAUGAAUGAAACAAUGGUAAGUUAGUAUAAUUUCUUAGGAAUUUGAUCAAAUAGAAUCUGCCUAUCCACCUUUGCUAAAAGGAUUCUCGAGGCUCUCAGAGAAUUAAUGGUAAACAAUAAGGAUAGGGAGAAUAAGGAGAUAAAGAGCAGAAGUAAGACAAGGUAGCUCCAAAAUAUUGGGGUUGUGACAAUGUUGAUAAUGUUGCUCUAGGCAAAACAUGACUAUGAAAGCAGACUCGACAUGGGUUUCCCCCAAACACUUGGAUUUUGCCUCUGGUUUCACAGGCUUUUUUGAAGUAUGGCUAGAUACUAGACCAGUGAUAGCCCCAAACACUAGGAUUUUGCCUCUGGUUUCACGGGCUUUUGAGAUACAAGAAGGGACUAGGCUUGUAUAUAAUAUUUUGAGCUGCUUUUAAGGUUUAUGGCACAUUUUUUUAUCUCUUAAUUGGAUUUGAAAUUCAAUACAACACCCUAAAUGGUUGUUUACUAGUGAUCUUAUGUUUUUUUUUUGUAUUUUCCCAAUGAGAUGUUUUGCAACAAUAAAUGGUUGCUUAGGUGUUAAGGAAUGUUUUAAAAAAUUUCUUAAAUAAAAUUUUAAAUUGUUUUCAAGAAUAAUUUUUUUUUUUUUGAGAACUUAAAUGUGAAAAACAGUUUUCUUGGCUUUUUCUCCAUGAAUGCACUAGAAAGAGUUUUUAAGAAAAGAAAUGAAAUCAUCAACCCAAUCAAAGAGAGAGAAAAAAAAAAAGAAAUGAUGAAAUUAUCAAAAUGUUUCCUAGUUCGUGUUAGUUUUGUGUUGUAAGAAAACAUGUACGCUUGCAAGCUUGGUUAAAAUGUGUGAAAAUCAAUGAUACAUAUCAAGGUAGCUUAUUUAAAUCAAUGAUCAGGUUCAUAUUUAUUACGUCUUAGGUUUUAUUAGGUAAGUAGAGACUUAUGUUUUAAUUAGGUAAGUAGAGACUUAUGUUUUAAUUAUUCUUGUUGGUAUUAUCCUUUAUUCGUAAAAGCUAGAAUUCAUAUUUGUAUGUCUAUCAUCUUCUGAAAUACAUUCAUAUUGUUUGGUGGAAGUUUGAUGUAUAUUUUUGAAUUUACUUUGAUUAGUUUUCUUAAGACUUUUGUUGUGCUUAGGAGAGAAUUUGAUUAAUGUGCUUCUAAAGGAUUGUGGACUAUGUUGCAUGGGUUGGGGUAUGAGUGUCAAGUGCAGGUGUUUGUCUAAUUGUUCAAUCCUUCAUAACUCAAAUUUUAGGUUGUGAAGACUUGGCUAAAAAUGAUCCUAAAAAGGGGCAUGGACACCUUUUCCCUCUAAAAAAAAAUCAAUUAAAAUAAAUUGACAUGAAAAUAAAUUGACAAUGAAAAUAAAUUGACAAUGAAAAUAUCCUAUUUAAAAGCUCCCACCUUAAGGUACCCUAGGUACUACCUUAGCUAAACAUGAACUCAACCUCUCCCAAGCCUUGGGUCUUCCUUUGUGACCCUUAGAGCAUCCCAUUAUGUGGUUCUCUUGAGUGCUCAGGUGGUCCACCAAUGGUUUUUUGGGACUGUACCUUAGGUACACCUUAAUGACCUUUAAGUAUUACCUUAAGAGACCCUAGGUACUACCUUAACUAAACUUGAACUCAACCUCUCCCAAGCCUCGGGCUUUCCUUUGUGAGCCUUAGAGCAUCUCAUUAUGUGGUUCUCUUGAGUGCUCAAGUGGUCCACCAAAGGUUUUUUGCAAUUGUACCUUAGGUACUACCUUAAGAGCCCUUAGGUACUACCUUAAUGGCCUUUAGGUACUACCUUAAGGGACCCUAGGUACUACCUUAGCUAAACAUGAACUCAACCUCUCCCAAGCCUCGGGUCUUCCUUUGUGACCCUUAGAGCAUCCCAUUAUGCGGUUCUCUUGAGUGCUCAAGAGGUUCAUCAAAGGUUUUUUGGGACUGUACCUUAAGUACUACCUUAAGGGCCCUUAGGUACUACCUUAAUGACCUUUAGGUACUAGCUUAAGGGACCCUAGGUACUACCUUAAGGUAAACAUGAACUCAACCUCUCCCAAGCCUCGGGCCUUCUUUUGUGACCCUUAAAGCAUCCCAUUAUGUGGUUCUCUUGAGUGCUCAAGUGGUCUACCAAUGGUUUUUUGGGACUGUACCUUAGGUACUACCUUAAGGGCCCUUAGGUACUACCUUAAUGGCCCUUAGGUACUACCUUAAGGGACCCUAGUUAUUACCUUAGCUAAACAUGAACUCAACCUCUCCCA